UGGGGAAUUUUGCACAAUGGGGGAAACCCUGAUGCAGCGACGCCGCGUGAUUUAGAAGGCCUUCGGGUUGUAAAAAUCUUUUCUAUGGGAAGAAAAUGACAGUACCAUAGGAAUAAGGACCGGCUACUUACGUGCCAGCAGCCGCGGUAAUACGUAAGGUCCGAGCGUUGUCCGGAAUCAUUGGGCGUAAAGGGUACGUAGGCGGGUAAGCAAGUUAGAAGUGAAAUCCUAUAGCUCAACUAUAGUAAGCUUUUAAAACUGCUCAUCUUGAGGUAUGGAAGGGAAAGUGGAAUUCCUAGUGUAGCGGUGAAAUGCGCAGAUAUUAGGAGGAAUACCGGUGGCGAAGGCGACUUUCUGGCCAUAACCUGACGCUGAGGUACGAAAGCGUGGGUAGCAAACAGG
RNAcentral lists this ribosomal RNA (402 nucleotides) under bacterium. RNAcentral's name for it is "partial 16S ribosomal RNA". It matches the Rfam family "Bacterial small subunit ribosomal RNA", at positions 355 to 776 of the family's 1533-position model. The record is from RNAcentral.